Molecule: ribosomal RNA, 443 nt
Filed under: uncultured bacterium
Lineage: Bacteria
Description: partial 16S ribosomal RNA
Rfam family: Bacterial small subunit ribosomal RNA
Source: RNAcentral
CCUACGUGAGGCAGCAGUGGGGAAUAUUGGACAAUGGGGGGAACCCUGAUCCAGCGACGCCGCGUGAGUGAAGAAGUAUUUCGGUAUGUAAAGCUCUAUCAGCAGGGAAGAAAGAAAUGACGGUACCUGACUAAGAAGCCCCGGCUAACUACGUGCCAGCAGCCGCGGUAAUACGUAGGGGGCAAGCGUUAUCCGGAUUUACUGGGUGUAAAGGGAGCGUAGACGGCGAUGCAAGUCUGAAGUGAAAGGCGGGGGCCCAACCCCCGGACUGCUUUGGAAACUGUAUGGCUGGAGUGCAGGAGAGGUAAGUGGAAUUCCGAGUGUAGCGGUGAAAUGCGUAGAUAUUAGGAGGAACACCAGUGGCGAAGGCGGCUUACUGGACUGUAACUGACGUUGAGGCUCGAAAGCGUGGGGAGCAAACAGGAUUAGAUACCCUAGUAGUC